This 159-nucleotide small RNA is filed under the name Chrysemys picta bellii (western painted turtle). RNAcentral's name for it is "TUC338 (ENSCPBG00000020537.1)". Lineage: Eukaryota; Metazoa; Chordata; Testudines; Emydidae. The record is from RNAcentral.
CUGAAAGGAGAACUUGGUACAAGUUCUUUAUUCACUGAAGACUAUGUAGAACAGACUUCCCCACUCUGCUCAACCAAUACGCCUUGGUAGAACUGGAGAGACAGCUUCUAAGGAUGAGAGGAUAAUUCAGUCUCCAUGCUCAUUUAAUCAUUAGCCUCU